UGUCAUGCUCAUUCUAAAGCCCAAGGGUUCUAAGGGACUGGGUUGCCUCUGUCGCAAUAGGAAGCCUUCAGAAAGACCCAAGAUUUCCUGAAGUCUCAGGGUAGGUAGGGAGAACAAGGAAAGGAACGGGCGCCCAACUCUCCCCAAGAUGGAUGCUCCAUGAUGUGGCUGCGGGGAGUUUGGAGGCUGGGGGAAGACAGGAGGAACCCUCACCUAAAUGGAGCCAGGCGUCCAUGGCACCAGGAGGAGAGAGCUGCUGCAGACACCUAUGGAGCACCUACUCUUAGCCAUUGUCUCUGCAAACACAGAGCAUUCAGGAGGAAGCAAUACAAAGGGCCUGUCUUCAGGAAGCUUGCAUUCUGGUGGGGCAGACCAACAACAAAUAAAUAUGUCAAAAUAUGUCAGUACACGUCAUAUACUAUUUAGGUGGAUAAGGUAGGGAACGGGAGAAUGGUUGACAGGAUGGAGAGAGUGUUGUUUUAUACAGAUGAUUCUGGAAGAUGACGUCAGAGAAGAGAUCUGAUAUAUACACGAGGCUAGGGUGUUCCAUGCCGUGUGUCAACGUCAUAAUCACACUUGCACUGCCCUCA
This is a non-coding RNA of Odocoileus virginianus texanus, 590 nucleotides long. The record is from RefSeq and is a predicted model, not a curated record. Lineage: Eukaryota; Metazoa; Chordata; Mammalia; Artiodactyla; Cervidae.